RNAcentral lists this long non-coding RNA (296 nucleotides) under Ananas comosus (pineapple). RNAcentral's name for it is "long non-coding RNA (ACOM_LNC020106)". The record is from RNAcentral. Lineage: Eukaryota; Viridiplantae; Streptophyta; Magnoliopsida; Poales; Bromeliaceae.
ACCUACAAUGUAUAUCUUUUGAGAAUAAGUGGGAUUGUUUGGUUGUGUGCAGUUAUUCUUGCAUAAUAAGAUCAUUCUAAGUGUGUGAGAAUGUUGCGCAAUAAGAUCAUCCUAACUGUGUGAGAAUCCAAAUCCAUUAUUUGGAUUGCUGCAUCACCAUCAAAUUACUGUUCCAGGAAUUGCAGGAGGGGCUAUUAUUGCAAGUGGAGUUGUAUCAGCAUCGAGCAUAGUUUUUACUGCAGCAGUUGGAAUGACCAACUUUAUAUGAAAAAAUUAGCGUAUCUUCCUAAUCUUUU